GAUGAACGCUGGCGGUAUGCUUAACACAUGCAAGUCGAACGGUCUCUUCGGAGAUAGUGGCGGACGGGUGAGUAACGCGUGAGAAUCUGCCUCUAGGUCGGGGACAACAGUUGGAAACGACUGCUAAUCCCGGAUGAGCCGGAAGGUAAAAGAUUUAUUGCCUAGAGAAGAGCUCGCGUCCGAUUAGUUAGUUGGUGGGGUAAUGGCUUACCAAGACGGCGAUCGGUAGCUGGUCUGAGAGGACGAUCAGCCACACUGGGACUGAGACACGGCCCAG
Molecule: ribosomal RNA, 277 nt
Filed under: uncultured Spirulina sp.
Lineage: Bacteria; Bacillati; Cyanobacteriota; Cyanophyceae; Spirulinales; Spirulinaceae
Description: partial 16S ribosomal RNA
Rfam family: Bacterial small subunit ribosomal RNA
Source: RNAcentral